This 497-nucleotide ribosomal RNA is filed under the name uncultured bacterium. Its description in RNAcentral is "partial 16S ribosomal RNA". It matches the Rfam family "Bacterial small subunit ribosomal RNA", at positions 28 to 507 of the family's 1533-position model. The record is from RNAcentral.
GAUGAACGCUGGCGGCGUGCCUAAUACAUGCAAGUAGAACGCUGAAGGAAGGAGCUUGCUCUUUCCGGAUGAGUUGCGAACGGGUGAGUAACGCGUAGGUAACCUGCCUGGUAGCGGGGGAUAACUAUUGGAGACGAUAGCUAAUACCGCAUAACAGUAGAUGUUGCAUGAUAUCUACUUAAAAGGUGCAAUUGCACCACUACCAGAUGGACCUGCGUUGUAUUAGCUAGUUGGUGAGGUAACGGCUCACCAAGGCGACGAUACAUAGCCGACCUGAGAGGGUGAUCGGCCACACUGGGACUGGGACACGGCCCAGACUCCUACGGGAGGCAGCAGUAGGGAAUCUUCGGCAAUGGACGGAAGUCUGACCGAGCAACGCCGCGUGAGUGAAGAAGGUUUUCGGAUCGUAAAGCUCUGUUGUAAGAGAAGAACGAGUGUGAGAGUGGAAAGUUCACACUGUGACGGUAUCUUACCAGAAAGGGACGGCUAACUACGUG